AAAGUUAAACGGCCGCGGUAUCCUGACCGUGCAAAGGUAGCAUAAUCACUUGUUCCUUAAUUAGGGACUGGCAUGAAUGGCCAAACGAGGGUUCGACUGUCUCUUAUUCUCAAUCAGUGAAAUUGACCUUCCAGUGAAGAGGCUGGAAUUAUAAAAUAAGACGAGAAGACCCUAUGGAGCUUAAAUUAACUAGCCUAAUUUCCAAAUACUAACCCUAAUGGACUAAAACCAACGAAAAAAUAAGCUAGCAAUUUCGGUUGGGGUGACCUCGGAGAACAAAAAAACCUCCGAAUGAUUUUAGUUUAGACUAACAAGUCAAAACAACUACACAAAUCUUAUUGACCCAAAUUCCCUUGAUCAACGGACCAAGUUACCCUAGGGAUAACAGCGCAAUCCUAUUUAAGAGUUCAUAUCGACAAUUAGGGUUUACGACCUCGAUGUUGGAUCAGGACAUCCCAA
This 459-nucleotide ribosomal RNA is filed under the name Desmomys harringtoni (Harrington's rat). RNAcentral describes it as "partial 16S ribosomal RNA". It matches the Rfam family "Bacterial large subunit ribosomal RNA", at positions 1919 to 2550 of the family's 2925-position model. The record is from RNAcentral. Lineage: Eukaryota; Metazoa; Chordata; Mammalia; Rodentia; Muridae.